UAUAUUUGAAGCCAUGUGGCCAUACGCGGGAAAUCAGAGUUCAGGAACUUGUGAUUUUCUACUGGUAUCUUCAGAUCAUUCUGGAAAUGCAAGGAGGCUGUGUUUCAAGCUAGGCCGUCUGAUUUUAUAUACAGCCAUGUCAUAGAAAGUGUGUGAUGAAAAGAUGGAUAAACUCUAUCAAAUUUUGUGGUUGUCACCAUUUUAAACAUAACCAUUACUAUAAUGUCACAGUUGUCAUUUGCUUGCAGCUUUUAUACCCAGAGCAGGUCUGUGGAGACUGUGCAUCAGUAACAAAACAUUUAACCAAGUUAAAAUAUUGGAUGUUCAAUCUUAGUGGGGGGCAAGGCCAAUAAGAUUACUCUUUAGGCCAUUUUCACAUUCUGAGUUGGGUUUCUAAGCUUGGAGUGCAGUCUUCAGCAAAUCUCAGAAGGAUUGAUCUGGAUAGCUUUGAUGGAGAACAAAGCAAGGAGCUCUAUCAUUACAUUUUUACUAAGUCACACUUUAAAAACCAUCAUAUAUUUGGGAAAGCUAGUGUAUUCCACUGACAUCUUGUGUGAUAUUUCUUGACCAUUUUUCCUCUUUAUAUUUACUGAAAAGUGAAAUGAGGUUUUCAAUCUUACAUUGGUCUCUUAGAGAGUCAACUGGAUAGAAUGUGGAAAUGGCCUAAAGAGUAAUCUCAUUAGGGCUUAGCCACCCCUAAGAUUGAACAUCCAAUAUUUUGACUUGGUAAAAAGUUUUGUUACUGAUGCUUAGUCUAAAAUCCAGCUCAGCUCUCUCUGUCACAAUUGUAUAGUCUCUGAAUAGCCCACAAGAGCAAAAUGCAAUGAUUUCUUUUUGCCUUUGAUAUGAAUCCAUGUAGGGACUAGUUUUUGGAUAACAAAACACAGUUUUUACUAAGCUACUUUGAAAAGUUGGAUUUCUUUCUAUUAUCAUAAUGAAGUGAUAUACUUUUUUUUUUUCAUUCUCACUGUAUAUAUGAGAGAAUGUUCAUCAGUGAAAACAAAACACAUUUAAAUCUUCAGGCUUCAGUGCUUCCACAAAGAGUAUGAAAAAAAAAAUUGUGGAAAUACUGUUGGAGGCAUUUGUCUUCAUUCUGAAAUAAUAUUGUUGGUGCACAGGAGAGAUUUCAGAUGACUGGUAAAAAGUGAAUGUGGCACACUGUAAAGAAUAAAUUCAAGGAGUUUUGGAUAAUUAUAAGCAUUAUAUAGAUCCUGGGCAAAAUACUAAUGAAAAAAAAUUAUAAAACCAGAAAUAAAUAGAAAUUAAUUCAUAGGUAGUAUCUUAUGUAAUGUUAAAAAAUAUGGUUUUUUGUGUGGAAAAUAGAUGCAUUCAAGCAACAAGAUGAGACUAAAAUACAAUUGCUUAAGAUAGAUGAAUUGAGUUAAUACACAUGAAUUACUUUAACUCAUUUGAUGUAGCCCUGCAUGACAAUCUGGUAAAAAAAAAUGCAGUACUAUACAAAAUCAAUUUACCUAUAUCAAAUGCUCUGGGAACCAAUUAGCAGCUACAUCAGCAUGUUUCUACUCUUUUCUAAUGGGUUAUUUAACAGCUUCAAAGGAGCUAAUACAGCUCAAUAUCUUUAUCAGUGAUCUGGAAGAAAACAUAAACUCUGCUGCUAACUUCACAAAUUACACCAGAAUUGCUGGAAAGGAAAGAAUGGAGAGAACAAAAUUAGAUAAUGGUAUUGAAGAUGCUGCUUCAGAUGCUGAGCAUUAAGCCACUAUUUUAGAAAAGGAUGAAUCUCAAUGUGGAAGAUAACACUAGCUUCUGUCUUCAAAUGUGGGAUCCUCUGAAGCUUCUGCUGCUGACCCAGAGUGAGAGAGAGUAAUUAAUGAAUAGAGACUACCCUCUGAUCCACUGGUGGUUCCCAUUUUCCUCAUUUCUAUUAUUUGUCUUACUCACAGAAGGAAAAAAUGCAAGGAAAAGCCUGAUAUAGGAAAAAAUCACAUUCCAGAUUUGCAGUGGCUAAUUCUGUUUUACUAUUAGAUUGCUAUUAAUUUCUAUUAAAUUUCUUUUUCUCAUACUAGGGCAAAAGGAGGGACAAACCGACCAGCCUCCUUUGCAGAGGAAAGCAGGGCAAGUUUGCUGGCCUGGAUGCAAGCUAGUGGGAACACAGAGGCAGGAACAAUGUGAAUUAGGAGAAAGGGAAAGGGAAAAAAAAACCCAGCAAAAUAUGACAGAGUUGGUUAUGGGGUGGUGGACUGGGAGCAGAAGAGUCUCUCUCAUGGUAACUUUUUUCCCACUGCAGAGAAGAAUUGAAGACAGGAAACCUGUGGCAUUAAAAUAGAGACUUCACAGUUAAAGUCUGUAUGAAAGGCAUGUUCACCAAAUAUUUACAAGCAUUUAACUUUAUGAAUUUAACAGUGAAGGUCUAUUUAUUUUUUUGGUCUGCAACAGGUACGUAGGCACGGGGCCAAAGUAGCAGGUGAAUGGGUACAGUCUCCCAACCUUCCCUGCUCAUGCUUGGUGUUGGAGGAGGAAAAGGGUAGAUAUUCACAGCUGUAGGUGUAAAAAACCCUGCACAAGGUUGCAGUGUCCAUAGCAUAGGUAGAACUCUGCUGAAGGACAGGAGAGGCUGGGUUGCCCACAGGGAAGGGGAGCAUCAGAAAAACAUGACAGAUUGCUGGCUGGAGAGUGCACACAGGUGAGGAGUGGAAAGGUCCCACGUGAGCUAAACCAGGUCAGAGCAUCGUUUGCUGCAUGGGGCUUUCUGCAGCCUUUUUAGCCCUUGCAACUAACAAAAUGCAGCCAGGUAUCCCUGUUUGGCCUCUGCUAAGUGUUCAUACCUCUUUUAAGGUGACCCACCAAAGUACCAGAAGAAAGUCUGAAAGACACAGCCCUGUUUUUGUGCAGUGUAUCAAUUGCACAUUGAAAUCUAACAGGUCCUCAUGGAUAUCAUUUGUACAAUUAAGCCAUAAAUAAUUCAGUAUUUGGCAGUCAAAGACUUCAUCCAUAAUAAUAUGCAGACUUUUUUCUUUUUUUUUCUUCCCAGGAUGCAAAGCAAACAUUUCAUAAACGAUCUCUCAGGUAGACUGUUCUAGCUUUUGUGCAGACACAGAACACCUCUGCAACAAACAAACCAGAGUGGGGAGAUGAUUUUAGAAACCUUAUGUCUUUACUCCUAGACAUAAUAAAUUAGUCAAAAGCAAAGAGUUUUCAUCUGUGUAUUAGCCUCACAUUAGUAGUUGCUUCCUGUAUCAGUUAAAGAAGCAUUAGGAGUUGUCCCUGUUUCCUGCCACAAGACAAAGGUAACGGUGCAAGAAUUUCUGGGAGAUGCCCACAAUCCACAAAAGCAGAGUGUCUAUGGCUGCCCACAGGAGCUCUGAUCUUGCAAAUAUGCAAGCUCAAAACUUCAUGUGGAACUUCACGUAUCCAGCAUUCCUCUCAAUUGAAGAGAAGUGCAAUUGCAGAGGCAGAACUUGAGCUGGCAUAAGUGCUUGUGAUUUAACUCAUCAUUCAGAAUGGAGAAAAAUCCUUAUGCUAUUUUGUAACAGACUAUGGGAAAAUGGAUAUUUCCUCAUCAGUCACUACACAAAUGACUGAAUCCACUGACAGCUUUAAUGUCUCCCUUUCUUUUGCUCUGCUCAUUUUCAGGCUCUCAGCUAAUUUGAUCUUUUGGCAGAGACAAACAUUUCAUUCUCAUGUUCAUGAUACCUAUUUAUUUUUAAAAUGUUGUUAACAUAGUUUCAGCUGUCUCCCUCUGUCUGGCCCUGCCUAAUUGAUGUAAAAAAUAGCUGUUUAAAAUAUUCUUCCUUGAGAAAAGUUGCUAAUUCCCCCCCAGAGAUCUUCUCCUUGUGUCUGCCUCCAGUCAAUUCCACUCAAUUUUGUAAGAAAAAUCUAGCACUGCACCUUCAGUGUGUUUACUUUCCCUUGUAAAACCAUUGCUAACUAAUGUGCUCUGGGAAAAUGAGUUGGAUUCUUCCCAUUUGCAAAUACCAUUAACAAAAUUGUGGACCAAAUUCCAUAUGCAGCUCCAAAUUACACACUCAAUUAGGGCCUGAUCCAAUGCUUAUUAAAGUCACUUGGAAAAUUCCCCCUGAUUUUAAUGGGCUGUAGCCCAGAUCUUAGGAAGUGGACAUUUCCACUGCAGAUGAUCAGUUUAAUCUUUGAGCAUUCUGGAAUUCAUGCAAUGAUAGAUUCAUAGGGCUGGAAAGGACUUCAGAGGUCACAUCUCAAGGCAAGAUCAGCUAAAUUUACAUCUCCCAACAGAUGUCUAACCUGUUCUUGAAGGUCAGUGACUGGGACACUAUGGAUUGUGCUCCCAGGCAGUCUUUUUUGUUAAUUAUCCUUACUCUUAAAAAGUUCUUCAUACCUGCUCUAAAUAAAUUCUUGCUCUGAUCUGCACCCAUUCCUUCCUGUUUUAUUCAAAGUGAAUGAGAGUAGACUAUUUUUUUUCUCAUUCCAAUAGCUUUGAAUGUAUUUGAAGACUAUUACUGAACAUGUGAGACACUCUUUUCUUCCUUAGGCUAAACAACCUUGGUAUUUCAAUCUGUUUUUAUGUUUCAAUCCAUCUGUUUUCUGGAUCUUAGUCAACACAGGUCCUUUCUUCUGGACUCCCUUAACUUAUCCCACAUAUUUUCUGACAGCUAGUGCCCAAAACAGACAAAUCCCUUCAGCACAGGUUUUUAUCAACGCUUUGUAGAGUGGAAGCAGUUCAAGAGUCAGGCACAGCCUCAGCACAGUGCUUGUCUUUCACACGUUGAUAUGGCACUAUUUGCUCACAUUUACCUUGUGACCCAUUAGAACUGAAACUGGGCAUAGUUCAAAAAUAUAAUUUGAGGGCUUCCUGGGACGGCUGGGGAAAUGCUGAGGGCAGAACUAGCAAUGCAGAGCUGCUGUAGAGCAAAUGAGAGGGGGAAUUUGAAUCCCAGUUGCCAGAUGAGUUCUUCAAGCUGAGAUUCAGAAAGACCAUGACAUUGUUUGCAAGAAUAUCAGUUUGAGAAAGAGAGCCUCGCUGAUGAUGUGACAUCCCCCCAGAGUUUGGGGCUGUGCCCUGUUCUUCAUUCACUGCCUCUCACUAUGCUGUUGGUAAGUAUGAACCCAGUCUUACCCAAACUGUGCACACCCCUGAUGCCAGUCCCACCUACUGCACAGCCACGUCUAACAAAGUGUUUGCAUGGGAAAACCUCUAAGUCCUGUUAUCAUAGUAAGGAGAGAUCCAAACUUCUGUUUUUCCUCAGUUUUUCUUAAACAAGAGGUAUGUAGAAGAAUUAGACAGCAUAAAUACUUCUGUCUUCUAAAUCUGCAUAGCAGAAGCUUCUAAGCUUCCUUUGCAUUUACACUCUUUUCUGUAAUUUUUUUACCUCAUUAAAAGGAGAAAAGACAGAAACUUUUGUGGCAUUCACCAUUUUGCAGCCAUUUCCCAUGUCUUGAUUUUUUGCAAGCUGAGACCCAGUUCUUCUGGUUCAUAAGCAGCAGGUGAUUCUGGAAUUACUGAAUUACUGUUUCUGAGAAGUGUGCACUAUGGCUUAAUCUUUGCUUGAUUCAUGAAGAGAAACAGAGAAAGAGUGGAGAUAACAGAGUUAGCAUUCUUCUUCUGUGUUAAGACAGAAGAAGAAAAACCUCUAUUUGCCAGUUUAUCUUCCAGAUCCCAAGGGUAAGAAUGCAUAAACAGAGUGGAACAUUUGUUUUCUUAACAAAGCCCAACAGACCACCAGAUAACAACUUUAAAUAUUGCACUGUAAAUAAAAGAUGUAAUUUAAGAUGCUGUUUUAUGUGCAUCAUAAAGUAAGUCCAGAAAAAACCUGGAGCCAGAGCAGUUGCAGAGCUCUAGUGACAUUUUCACACAUAGGUCAUGUAACCACCUAUUGAAGCCAAUUCCAAUCAGGCAAACCUGCUCUGAGGAGCUUCUCUAGUGCACUUUUUACUUGUUUCUUCUUCAGGCAGUGAUGGUAUUAAAGUCAUGUGGGUUUUAGUGUUGGCAAGAGA
Passer domesticus (house sparrow) is the source of this 5928-nucleotide long non-coding RNA. RefSeq lists it as uncharacterized. The record is from RefSeq and is a predicted model, not a curated record. The transcript has 2 exons. Lineage: Eukaryota; Metazoa; Chordata; Aves; Passeriformes; Passeridae.